RNAcentral lists this transfer RNA (25 nucleotides) under Equus sp. RNAcentral describes it as "partial tRNA-His". The record is from RNAcentral. Lineage: Eukaryota; Metazoa; Chordata; Mammalia; Perissodactyla; Equidae.
GUAAAUAUAGUUUAACAAAAACACU